RNAcentral lists this ribosomal RNA (306 nucleotides) under uncultured bacterium. RNAcentral describes it as "partial 16S ribosomal RNA". It matches the Rfam family "Bacterial small subunit ribosomal RNA", at positions 507 to 807 of the family's 1533-position model. The record is from RNAcentral.
GACAGCAGUAGCCGCGGUAAUACGAAGGGUGCAAGCGUUAAUCGGAAUUACUGGGCGUAAAGCGUGCGUAGGCGGUUUCUUAAGUCUGCUGUGAAAUCCCCGGGCUCAACCUGGGAAUGGCAGUGGAUACUGGGAAGCUAGAGUGUGUCAGAGGAUGGUGGAAUUCCCGGUGUAGCGGUGAAAUGCGUAGAGAUCGGGAGGAACAUCAGUGGCGAAGGCGGCCAUCUGGGACAACACUGACGCUGAGGCACGAAAGCGUGGGGAGCAAACAGGAUUAGAUACCCCGGUAGUCCCUGUCUCUUAUAC